GCUUUUUCGAGCCGCCUCUCGUAGCCCCGCAGAUCGGACGCUGAAGUUUCGGAUCUCACUUCCGGCGAACUUCUCCGAUGAAAGUUCGGCGAGCUUUUCCGGCCGUCUCAGUCGUCCCCUGCGAAAACCGUCACCAUACCGAGGUUCGUAUCGAUCUCCUCUACACCGGCACGCUAUUUGUUUGACUAAUCCAUUCUCGUUCAUCGUAUCCUAAUAUUUGUUUGUCUAACUCCGGCGAACCUCCAUGGACGUCAUCUUAUCCUUCGUUCCAGCCACUGCGAUCAUGUACGACGACAUCGCCGACCCUGCGCCCCACGCCACAGCCCCGCAGCACCCCGGCUCGCGCCC
RNAcentral lists this long non-coding RNA (348 nucleotides) under Sorghum bicolor (sorghum). RNAcentral describes it as "long non-coding RNA (SBIC_LNC001215)". Lineage: Eukaryota; Viridiplantae; Streptophyta; Magnoliopsida; Poales; Poaceae. The record is from RNAcentral.